RNAcentral lists this ribosomal RNA (494 nucleotides) under uncultured bacterium. Its description in RNAcentral is "bacterial SSU rRNA". It matches the Rfam family "Bacterial small subunit ribosomal RNA", at positions 903 to 1397 of the family's 1533-position model. The record is from RNAcentral.
AAAGGAAUUGACGGGGGCCCGCACAAGCGGUGGAGCAUGUGGUUUAAUUCGAUGCUACGCGAAAAACCUUACCUAGACUUGACAUCCUGUGCUACCCUGUGAAAGCAGGGGUUCCCGCAAGGGACGCAGAGACAGGUGCUGCAUGGCUGUCGUCAGCUCGUGUUGUGAGAUGUUGGGUUAAGUCCCGCAACGAGCGCAACCCUCGCCGUUAGUUACCAUCAUUAAGUUGGGCACUUUAACGGAACCGCUUGGCUAUAAGCCAGAGGAAGGUGGGGAUGACGUCAAGUCCUCAUGGCCCUUAUGUCUAGGGCUACACACGUGCUACAAUGGGAGUGACAAAGCGUUGCUACUUUGCAAAAAGAUGCUAAUCGCAAAAACGCUCCCUCAGUUCGGAUUGGAGUCUGCAACUCGACUCCAUGAAGCUGGAAUCGCUAGUAAUCGCGGAUCAGAACGCCGCGGUGAAUACGUUCCCGGGCCUUGUACACACCGCCCGU